UUGACAUGAAGAGUUUGAUCCUGGCUCAGAUUGAACGCUGGCGGCAUGCUUUACACAUGCAAGUCGAACGGCAGCAUGUUUUUUCUUCGGAAAAAAUGAUGGCGAGUGGCGGACGGGUGAGUAACGCGUAGGAAUUUGCCCUAAAGUGGGGAACAACCUAGGGAAACUUAGGCUAAUACCGCAUAAUCUCUACGGAGCAAAGCCGGGGACCUUCGGGCCUGGCGCUUUAGGAUAAGCCUGCGUCAGAUUAGUUUGUUGGUGGGGUAAUGGCCUACCAAGACGACGAUCUGUAGCUGGUCUGAGAGGACGAUCAGCCACACUGGGACUGAGACACGGCCCAGACUCCUACGGGAGGCAGCAGUGGGGAAUAUUGGACAAU
Molecule: ribosomal RNA, 379 nt
Filed under: Legionellales bacterium
Lineage: Bacteria; Pseudomonadati; Pseudomonadota; Gammaproteobacteria; Legionellales
Description: bacterial SSU rRNA
Rfam family: Bacterial small subunit ribosomal RNA
Source: RNAcentral